UCCGUUGUGGACGAACAGGGGUAGAAUUGUAAUUUCGCCCCCAGUACUUAUUUUAUUAAUUAUUAAAGCCACCACUACUGAUAUCUACUCCUUCAACUCCUCUCUUCCUUACGAAUUGUAGGAGCUACCAGAACAUCAGAUCUAUUCACCCUCGCUUCACCUUCUCCGCUUCUGACAUCGGUACUGCUCCUCAAUACAGACCAUUCUCUUAAAUUUCUCUGCUUUGGUUCGAGUUAGUCUUCGGUGGUGUUGUAUCAGUGAGUUACAGUAACUUAUUUUCCUUCUUUUUCUUUCUAAACAGUACCAGAGCAAAGUGAGAAUCAUAUAGUAAUAGUAAUAAUUUUAGCGAAAAUUUUGAGGCUAUGAUGAUGAUUUUUUGUUCUUAGUUUGUCUGAGCAAAGUUGAUUAGGGUAUUGGGAUGCCCCGACCCGUAUCGUGGCGGGCCGACCCGAAAACCGGUGUUUGCAGCCAUGUUGGUGAUUUUAGUCUCUCUUUGCAGGACCGUGUUCUUCAAGAUUCUCAUCUAUAAGUUCGCUCCAUUUACAGAACCUGCAAAUCGGUUUAGUAAAGGCGUCUGGACAUACAUUAUUUGCAAAAACCGAAAUACUGUUUGUAAAUCAAUGUGUGUGUUACGAGUUUAUCCACUAUUUCAACGAGCCUGAACUAAAAAAUUAUAGCUUUGUGAUCAUUUCAGGAGCUAAACAGUGACGAGUCACAUUCAAAGGUGAUAAAAGUUCCCAAUAACAGUCCCAAAUAGUUGGCCCAGGGUAAAUUGGUGUUUAUGAAUGAGGUAAAAUUAAAGAGGUAGCGCCUCAUAGAUCCCUGUUUAUCAUGGUAUUUCUAGAACAAAUGAAAAUGAACCAUUUUACAUAUUACUUUCUCCAACAAUUUUGAGUCAACUUUCCUGAGUUAAGAGUUAAUAUUCAAGUCAACAUGGUCCCUGUAUGAGACUAAAUUGUGUGCUUGAAGGAAACUAUAAUGCUUUGGCAGCAUUAUGUCAAAUGGAGGAAAAAUAGUUGCUGAGAAUUUAGGAGGUCACUCGAUCUCUUACAAUAAAGGAAGUUCAACUCUUAGGAUUGCUAACGAUUUUCAUCACCUGGACGAGAUUUCAAAUUGGAAGGAAGACUUAAAUCAGAUGAAUGAAAACGUCACCCUGUUGACUUUGGAAGACAUAUUUAGUUUCUAGAUUUUUAAUCUCUGCAGUUACAUAGGUGAUUGUACUAACUGUCCAGGUUAUAGCUCAGCGAAGUUAUUAUGCUACUCAAAGCCUAUUCACUGUACAUAGGCCAAUAUUAGCUUUCAUUUUCAUAGUUUAAAACUCUUGCAGCUUUGGUUUUAGUAUCUUAGAACUCAGUCUUCUACUAGCUUUAAACUUAGAUGACUAUCUGAUGGAAUAAAAGUGGGAAGAGUUCAACCAAGAGAA
Lycium barbarum (goji berry) is the source of this 1423-nucleotide long non-coding RNA. RefSeq lists it as uncharacterized. The record is from RefSeq and is a predicted model, not a curated record. The transcript has 4 exons. NCBI's taxonomy places the organism in Eukaryota, Viridiplantae, Streptophyta, Magnoliopsida, Solanales, Solanaceae.